This 233-nucleotide non-coding RNA is filed under the name Exiguobacterium artemiae. Its description in RNAcentral is "Exiguobacterium sibiricum T-box sequence". It matches the Rfam family "T-box leader". Rfam says of the family: Uncharged tRNA acts as the effector for transcription antitermination of genes in the T-box leader family. T-boxes are found upstream of many aminoacyl-tRNA synthetase genes and some amino acid biosynthetic genes usually in Gram-positive bacteria. The record is from RNAcentral. Lineage: Bacteria; Bacillati; Bacillota; Bacilli; Caryophanales.
ACAGACGCAAUGACGAAGAGAAGUAACCUAUGAAACGAUUCAAGAGAGCUGAUGGAUGGUGCGAAUCAGUAUCGGGAAACAGGUGAAUGGACUUCUGAGCAUCAGACCGAACUUAUAGUAGGCUCUGACGGGUACCUUCCGUUAUCAAGGACGACGAAUCAGGGUGACCGGUUCGUUCGAGGGGACUAGCAUUAGUCAACGAAGGUGGUACCGCGGGUUUUCCCGUCCUUCAU